This 582-nucleotide ribosomal RNA is filed under the name uncultured Glomus. RNAcentral describes it as "eukaryotic LSU rRNA". It matches the Rfam family "Eukaryotic large subunit ribosomal RNA", at positions 204 to 633 of the family's 3401-position model. Lineage: Eukaryota; Fungi; Glomeromycota; Glomeromycetes; Glomerales; Glomeraceae. The record is from RNAcentral.
CAUGGAGGGUGAGAAUCCCGUCCGGCUGACCUUCAGGACGUUUUACGAUACGCUCUCAAAGAGUCGAGUUGUUUGGGAUUGCAGCUCAAAAUGGGAGGUAAAUUUCUCCUAAGGCUAAAUACCGACGAGAGACCGAUAGCGAACAAGUACCGUGAGGGAAAGAUGAAAAGAAUUUUGAAAAGAAAGUCAAACAGUACGUGAAAUUGUUGAAAGGGAAACGAUUGAAGCCAGUCGUACCGACGGGAAUUCAACUUCUCGAGUGCUAAUCGUGGGUGACGUUGAGCCUCACGGCCUUCGUUGCUUGUGUUGUUGGUGCUUUUGGGGUGUACUUUUCCGUAUUGGUAGGUCAGCAUCGAUUUCGAUCGUCAUAAAAUGAUCGGGGGAAUGUAGCUUCGGUCUCGUAUCGGAGUGUUAUAGACCUUGGUAGAUGUGACGAUUGGGAUCGAGGAUUGCAACGAAUACCUUCUGGGCUAUCCGUCUGACCUCUGAAAGUCGCUCGGGUGUCGAAAGCGUGCUUAUGGCUAUUCGAGUUGGCGGUCAAUAGGUUAGAACGUGAUUACAUUCGUUAAGGAUGUUGACGUA